UACGUAGGGGGCGAGCGUUGUCCGGAUUUAUUGGGCGUAAAGAGCGUGUAGGCGGCUUGGCAAGUCCGCUGUGAAAACUCGAGGCUCAACCUCGAGACGUCGGUGGAAACUGCCUGGCUAGAGUCCGGAAGAGGAGAGUGGAAUUCCUGGUGUAGCGGUGAAAUGCGCAGAUAUCAGGAAGAACACCCGUGGCGAAGGCGGUUCUCUGGGCAUGUCCUGACGCUGAGGAGCGAAAGUGUGGGGAGCGAACAGG
This 253-nucleotide ribosomal RNA is filed under the name uncultured bacterium. RNAcentral's name for it is "partial 16S ribosomal RNA". It matches the Rfam family "Bacterial small subunit ribosomal RNA", at positions 524 to 776 of the family's 1533-position model. The record is from RNAcentral.